Pelobates cultripes (western spadefoot toad) is the source of this 7263-nucleotide non-coding RNA. Lineage: Eukaryota; Metazoa; Chordata; Amphibia; Anura; Pelobatidae. The record is from the annotation of a GenBank genome assembly.
CUUUGAUCAUGCAAAGUUUCUGAAUUCCCCUAGAAUCUCCCUUAAAUCACCUGGACAAGAUGAUACAUCUAAACCACAUACUUACAGAAAAAUGAAAGACAACUCCCGCAGUGAUAUACUAUACAAUGCUUGCUGUCAUAUGGCAAGUCACACUUAAGAAGUAAUUCUAUGCCUUAAAUAUAAUAUAAUAUUUUCUAAUUUGCAAUGAGUUCUUCCUUCUCUGAGAAUGACCAUACAAAGGUGAAUAAAACAUAUAGUACAGAUUGAAUUAGAUCGACAUUUUUUAUAUUAUUUUAUUGCACGUACAUAGAUAACAUAAAUCAAUUUUAAAUUCACCAAACUGGUGAUUAAAUUUAAAUGUAACUACUAAGAAGGGAAAAAAAUGCAAAUAUGGUUACUAUAAUAAAUAGAGAUAUAUAUUUCGACUAUUUCAUAUAGACUCAUGGACACAGAGGCAUGUGUAGUGUUGAUAUAAAACACCGUAAGUCGAAAUCAUUCAUCAAAUGAGAACGAAUCUUCAUUUUCAGGAUAUUAAUGAUUCUUUUUGAGUUUUAACUGCUCUAACUUUGUUUUUGUUUUAUAUAUAUAUAUAUAUAUAUACACACACACACCAUUGUACAGCGCUAUGGAAUCUGAUGGCGCUAUAUAAAUAAUAAAAUAAUAAUAAUAUAAAGACCAAUAGUAUAGUGCUCCUCCAGCCUACUAAGGGGGAUGGUAUGGUGCCCUUAGGUGACAGUCAGAAGGAGGACCUUGGGCAACGAGGCUGUGCUGUAAUAACUGAUCAUUGUUUAUGUAGUGUUGCUAGGUGUGAUUGAAUUUUGCUUUAGGCUCAUCUUAUGAAUGGUAUGAGGCAUAUAAAAUGAGCAGACGUAUAAAAGGAGAGGAACAUGAUGUAUGAAGGAUAGAGGAUUUUAGCUACAUCCAUAUAUGGAAUUGAAAUGUACUGCACCAAGACAACAGUGACCCUGUGUGUCUGUGUGUAUCUGUUUGUAUGUAUAUCUGUGUGUUUGUGUAUUUGUCUGUAUGUGUAAAUCUGUCUGCAUGUGUAUCUGCAUAUGUGUCAUUGUGUGUCCCUGUAUAUGUGUGUAUGUCAGUGUUUGUAUCUGCAUGAGUCUUACUAUGUUUCUGAAACUGUUUUCUUUUUUUGGGAGGGAUGGUUGAUGUGGAGGGCUUGAUUAAAUGCCAGGGAGUGUAGGCGGGGGGAGGGAGCAGGAUCCAGGGUGCCUAUGCAAAUACAUCCCUAAAGUCCAAUUAAUAUUAAAGAUGGCCCUGGAUUAAUUCAUGCACAUUACACAAUUCUUUGAGUUUUAUUGUUGAAGAGCUGUGUGAUACACUCAUAAUAGUCAUCUGGAGCUCUGUGAUGCAAAUUCAUUGUUUAUGUCUGCAAGGUUUAUUGCUGUGGAGCUCUGUGAAACAAAGUAAUGAGGCACACAAGAGUAAAUUACUCAAAUGUCUAUGAUGGACACAUAAAGUUCAAGAAAAUAACAGAUUUUAAUAGUUUAGUUACAACUGGUGUCCACAUUAUGGCUGGCCUUGGAUUAAAGUCACUCUUGUUUAAACAUUUACAGAUUUGUAACCUUUACUUAUAUUCUCAUUUUCCUUUUACGAACUAUCUCACACCUUAUUUAAAACAUAGGAUAAAUUCCAAACCUGGAUAUAAAUAAUAUAGAACAUUUUUUAACACUUGAUUGCAAAGUAUUUUCAGAGCCUAUAUCUGCAAUAUGCUAAACUAAAAUGGAAAAAAUGUGCUGGUCUACGAAGAUAAGACUUGAAAACUAUUAGGAUGCGGGGUUUCCAAAAAUAAAACUGUUACAAGUGCAAAAGGAAACACAAUGACAGAAUAGCUUUGGGGUUUCAACACAUAACAUAUGUAUUAAAAUUCUUAAAAUGUUUAAAAAUAGAAUGCUCCCUCUUGUGUUUGAGUACCUGAGGUUAACUGAGCAAAAACUAUUUUGAGACCUGAGCGGGGAUGUACCGAAGGGCAAGCUAAUGAGUUUACUCUAAGCUUUUAUCCGUUCUCAGAGUUCUCAUUCCUUCAUUUUUGCUUUAGUGCAUUAAAUUGGCUCACCCCAAGUUAAAAGGGUAAUCCAGACGUGGACCCUGUGCUCACUGUGCCUAGAGGGAUAUCAGCUAUACCUCACUGAUGAGGCCCAAAAGAAAGCCAAAAUGAUUGUCUGGGAUUGCUGUAUCUCUCGUGCAGAGGAAACUUGCUGGCAUUUCGGAUCUGGACUGCCCGUACUGGUGGGACCAGUCUGAUAAGUUUCAGAUAUGUGCUCUCUGUAAUGGCACAAGUGAGCAAAAACUAUUUUGAGUUCUGAGCAGGGAUGUACCGAAGGGCAAGCCAUUGAGUUUACUCUAAGCUUUUGUUCGUUCUCAGAGUUCUCAUUCUUUCUUUUUAACUGAACAUAGAUUAAAAAAUAAUCUUGGUGGUGCAGAUUAAAUGGCACUUCUUAAUAUUAUUUUAUAUCAGAUCAAUUAUUCAGUGGCAGAACUACCUUUGUGCUUAUGCACCAGUGCCCGCACACUUUGGGGGUCCACGGGGGGUCCAUGCACUUAGGGCCACCCGAUGAGUAUUGCUGAACAGGGGGCCAAGUCAAGGUAAAAGAAGCAAGCAUAAAACAGUAUUCUGAUACACUUAACACAUUUCACCAACAACUGGCUUUAGCAAGAAGUGUUUUGACACUUUUGAUAAAGCCAAUUGUUGGUGAAAUACGUUAAGUGUAUUAGAAUACUGUUUUAUGCUCGUUUAUUUGACCUCUUAAUGUUUUUUUUUUUUAAAUAAAUAAAAGUACUUUUUUAUUGAACCUCACUGAUUGCUGCUGGAUUCACAAACACCUAAAUCCUUGGUGGGGAUAAAAUACCACCUACAGCCACUGGUUUGAGCAAACCUUAUUUUGUUCUACUACAUAAGUCAUUUAAAAAAAAUCUAUUUUACUUCUUCACUCCAGUUUUAUGGUGUAACUAUUUUGGUUUUAUUCUCUUGUAUGUUCACAUACAGAGAGAUACCAUAAUCACCUAUAUCCUAGAGUGGGGAUCAUACCAUUAGAAUGCUAUACUUGUGGAACCAACGUUAAGGCUCAAUAAUAUGUGAUUGCACAUUUUUUACUUUGUUUUAUUUUUGCUAUUUUGUCUUGCAUACUGCACCACAUUAUUUUUAAUUUUCUCCCUCCAACAAAUCUAUGAGAACAUCCACUUAUAGGAUGACUACACGCAGAUCCUGCACCACAUUAUAUCCCUAGGCGGGGAUCAUUCCGCCCAAUCAUUCAAGCUAGAGCUGAACCUAAGCUCACAAAAAGUGUGAGUGGACUAUUUUUAUUAAUUUUAAUCUCACUGUACUUUACGUAUUACACUAUUGGUCUUUUCUUUAUCAUUACAUAUAUUCUCAAGGACAUAUUAGGCGCUACACCAACCCUUCUGUUUCUUCUGUAUAUGAAUUUGUGUCUAUGUGUCAGUGUUUUUAUAUGUGGUAAUGUGUAUGUAUGUAUGUAUGUAUGUUUGUAAGAGUGUAUCUGUGUAAGUGCAUACAUCCAAGCAAACACCAACACAACAUGAAACACACUCCUGCAAUCUAACACAAAUAUUACAUACAAACACACCCCUGCAUUCAAACUCCAAAAUUAUAUACAAACACACCCCUUCACUCAAACAUCUAUACUACACACGCAUGCACAUCUGCAUUUAAAAGCCAACAUUACAUGCAUGAAAAGCACUGCAAUCAAAGCAAAGAUUACAUACAAAACACAAACCUGUGCUAAAACACUACAUUUAUACACAAACACCCCUGCAUUCAAACACCAACACUACACUCAAAAGCACGUUUGCAAUUAAAAGCGAACACUAAAUACAAACACAUCCCUGCAUUUAAACACAAACACACAUAAACCACUUAAUUCCAAUGGCAGCAGUGCAUGCAGACAUAUACUCUUAAAAACAUGCUUACAUUCAAACGCACAAACAUGGCGCACAAUUACAACCCUGCAAUGACAGACAAAUGGUAGAUCCCUAGUUGGCAUAGUAUUGUUGGAGUUGUACGACAGAUGAGGAUGUAACUUUUGCCAAUUCCUGCACUGGGGGGGAGGGGGGGGAGCCCAAAAAGCUCUCUACUUUAGUUGUGCCACUGAACUUAUUCAAACUCCAGCAGAAUAUUGGACAUACAUGUUUUAGUGUACUGUGUUGGAGGUUUUAUGUUAUUAUAAAUAAAUACAUCACUAGAAAUGAUAAAUAUAUUGUUUCAAGGGUCACAGUUAAAAUAAACAAAAUUAUAUGCAUCCUUUCCACCAACGCAAGGCAGACUUUGAUAGAUCCCCAAGAUUACGUUUGUUUACACAUCUGUCUUAUUCACCAGACAUGCAACACUGCAUGUAUGCAAUAGCACUCUAUGCCAUGAAACAUGAGGAUAUGAAAUAUCCAAGUGAGUCAUCGCCAACAGUAAAUGGCUGGAAGAUUGAGAAAUAAUCAAGAUGCACAGUUUGCAUGUGAAUUGAUUUAUAAAGAUAGUUUACAGGACAGGAUACAAGUCAAGCAAAGCCAUUUGUAAACUCAAAAACAGAUACCACAAAGUUAUACUCUCACCGACACACACAACUGAAUAUGUUAUGUAUCUACUGACAGAUUCAUUGCCACAAUAUGCCAAAUAAAAAGAUCUUCAUUCACAAAUGUACUAGUAGUAGUUGAUUUCUAACUUAGAGAAAUACAUAGAGGAUACAUCAUAGUGAGGAGCAGAUUGUGGAAUAGUAAUGCCACAGAGGAGUUCUGGAGACAUUCUCAGUCUUAUUCAAUCAAGAGAGAAUUGAAAUUAAAAGACAAUUUCAUAUUUACGUUAAAAACAAGCUGAAUUAGAAAAAAAACUGAAAGUACGCUUUGAAUUUAGUUUGAUUGUUUUGGUUUACAAUUUGAAAUUCACAUUGAAUUCAAGAAACACUAUAGUGUUGGGAAUACAAACAUGAAUUUCUAAUGCUAUAUUCUCCUAGUCCAUAUUUAGACGCAGGGCCUUGUUCCUUUUAACCUGUAAAAAUAAGAGAAAAAAGGUUUUACUUAAUUUUUUCCAGCACGGAGACUUACUUAGUACUACAACCUGCUCCUUCUCAAAAAAUGCUCUGCAUCCAGUCUAAUGCUUCACAUAGUGUCCAAUCAAAAUGCUCUGCAUCCAUUCAAAUGCUUCACAUAGUGUCCAAUCAAAAUGCUCUGCAUCCAGUCAAAUGCUUCACAUAGUGUCCAAUCAAAAUGCUCUGCAUCCAGUCUAAUGCUUCACAUAGUGUCCAAUCAAAAUGCUCUGCAUCCAGUCUAAUGCUUCACAUAGUUUCCAAUCAAAAUGCUCUGCAUCCAGUCUAAUGCUUCACAAACUCAAAAUGCUUUGCAUCCAGUCAAAUGUUUCUCAUAAGUUAAGAUUAAACCCAGUGCUUUCCUAUGAGCUGCAUUUGAUGGCGAUUGACAUCAUCAUAGAUGACACAUGACCGAGUGAAACUUGUGGCUGUAAAGACUGUAAGAAGAGAGGCGUGCUUAACCCUUCAAGAGAUCUAGGUGCUUUUAAUGGUUCUAUCACAUACAUUUUAACUUUAGUGAAUAACCUUGACAUAUGUGGCCUUUGAUUUUUUUCCCCAGAACUCCAGCAUUAGCUAUACAGAGCAUUAGCUUCCUAUAAUACAUGUUUCAGUGUUAUAGGUUUUUUGUCAAUAAAUUACUUUUUCAGAUUAGGGCUAUGUUUCCAUCAAGCUCAGGACAACACCAGGACAUAUAUGCCCCAGCCUGACUAAGAUUGGUGGACAUCCCACUCCCAGAUACCAUUUGAGAAUUGCAGUAGCCACCACUAAUUGCACACUUCUCCUGUUACUGAAAAAAUAUAUGUCCAGCAGGGCCGGACUGGGAAAAGAAUUCGGCCCGGGCAUUUUUUAAUCACAGCGGCCCACUGCGAAGGGGGCGGGGCCAGAGGGGGGUGUUUUGUCAUCACCAAUGGCAAGAACGCCCCAUGUCAAAGUGAGCAUGGUGGUUCAAUGCUCUUUUAGGGCAGACCAUGCGCAGAGCUCUGCUGAAGAGCUCCAGCAUGAGAAAAAGGCCCUGUAUUUGUUCUGCGCAGCGCAAGCAUUUUUAUUAACAUGCUUGCGCUGUGUUUGCUUGUAACUUGUCUCUGGUGUCUCGUAAGUGGGAUACCAGGAGACAAAGACCCAGGAAAGAGUAUUGUGCAUUUGUUUGGAGCCUGCUUGUAGGAUUGUGUGUGUGUAGAGUGAGCUGAUUGUGGUGUGAUGUUGUGUAAAUAGGUCGAUUUCAGUUGUGUUUGUAGGGUAAUGUGUGGCUAGCGGCUGUAAAGAGUGAGAGAGUGUAUAGGGAGCAUAGUGUGUAUAGAGGUUGUAGAGUGUGUUUGUUUAGGGGAUGUAGUAUGUUUGCUUACAAGGAAUCUAGUGUGUGCAUAGGGGAUCCAGAGUUUGCAUAUCAGGAAUGUAGUGUGUUUAGAUGAUCCAGAGUUGUGUAAGGGAUCUAGUGUGUGUUUGGAAUGUAAUGUGUGAAUGAGGGGUGCUGUGUGUGAGGGUGUUGUUUGUGUGAGAGGUGCAGUGUGCGAGGGUGUGGUUUGUGUGUGUGAGGGGGCACUGUGUGUAAGGCUUCAGUGUGUGUGUGUGUGAGGGGUUCUGCUUGUGAGGUGCUGCAUGUGAUGGGUGCUGUGUGUGCCGUGUGUGUGAGGGUGCUACAUGUGAGGGGUGCUGUGUGUACCAUUUGUGAGAGUGCUCUGUGUGUAUGUGAGGGGUGCAAUGUGUGACGGUGCUGUUUGUGUGAGGGGUGCUGUGUGUGUGUGUAUGUGAGGGGUGCAGAGUGUGAGGGGUGCAGGACCCAGAGCGUGAAUAGGAGAUCUAUGUAUGUUUGUGUGCAUAGAGGAUUCAGAAUGUAUUUAGGGAUUUAGUGUGUUUAGAUGAUCCAGAGUUGUGUAAGGGAUCUAGUGUGUGUCUGGAAUGUAAUGUGUGUAUGAGGGGUGCUGUGUUUGUGUGUGAGGGGUGCAGUGUGCGAGGGUGCAGUUUGUGUGUGUGAUGUUUCAGAGUGUGUGUGUGUGUGUGUGUGUGUGAGGGGUGCUGCGUGUGUGGGUGCUGUAUGAGGAGUGCUGUGUGUGCCAUUUGUGUGAGAUUGCUGUGUGUGUAUGUGAGGGGUGCUGUGUGUGUGGGGUGGGAGGUGCUGUGUGUGUGAGAGAGGGUGCUGUGUCAGUGUGUGUGCUCGUGUGUGUGAGGGGUGCUGUGUCAGUGUGUGUGUGUGUGUGUGUGUGUGAGUGGGGUUCUGUGUGAG